GCCUACGGGGCGCAGCAGUCGGGAAUAUUGCGCAAUGGAGGAAACUCUGACGCAGUGACGCCGCGUAUAGGAAGAAGGUCUUCGGAUUGUAAACUAUUGUCAUUAGGGAAGAGAAAGGACAGUACCUAAAGAGGAAGCUCCGGCUAACUACGUGCCAGCAGCCGCGGUAAUACGGAGGAUGCGGGCGUUAUCCGGAUUUAUUGGGUUUAAAGGGUGCGUAGGCGGGCUGUUAAGUCAGCGGUCAAAUGUCGGGGCUCAACCCCGGCCUGCCGUUGAAA
RNAcentral lists this ribosomal RNA (278 nucleotides) under uncultured bacterium. RNAcentral's name for it is "partial 16S ribosomal RNA". It matches the Rfam family "Bacterial small subunit ribosomal RNA", at positions 337 to 632 of the family's 1533-position model. The record is from RNAcentral.